UCAGUUGUAGUUGGAUCGGCGAGAGAACAUCUCGAUUCUUGACCAAAUGUAGUAGUUUCUUAUGCCGGCACUAUUCUCGAAUUGGAAUGUAGCAGCUGAUAUAAUGAACAACCUCCCUAUACACCCACAACUCUUGUGUUGGAGUUGCAGACUGUGAUUACGAGAGGCUGCGUGUGACCAGGCUUUGAAUUUUCAUUUCGGAUGAUGUAUCAGAUAACGAAUUAAUAAAGAAUUUGUAGAAAAGUUAAGGAUUCAAAGGAGGCGACGGUUUUCAUACUACUCAUGUAUAUUUACCUCAAGACAAGAAAAAUAUUUUCACCUUUUCCGCUGUAUCAAACAACCCUCAAGGAACUACCUUUCUGGUGGAAAAUGUGCUCCAGACAUGGCUCAACAAGUUCUUCGUCUCAAAACCAUGUGA
Molecule: long non-coding RNA, 418 nt
Organism: Schistocerca americana (American grasshopper)
Lineage: Eukaryota; Metazoa; Arthropoda; Insecta; Orthoptera; Acrididae
Exons: 3
Source: RefSeq, a predicted model, not a curated record